GAUGAAGAACGCAGCGAAAUGCGAUAAGUAAUGUGAAUUGCAGAAUUCAGUGAAUCAUCGAAUCUUUGAACGCACAUUGCGCCCUCUGGUAUUCCGGGGGGCAUGCCUGUUCGAGCGUCAUUAUAACCACUCAAGCUCUCGCUUGGUAUUGGGGUUCGCGGUUCCGCGGCCCCUAAAAUCAGUGGCGGUGCCUGUCGGCUCUACGCGUAGUAAUACUCCUCGCGAUUGAGUCCGGUAGGUCUACUUGCCAGCAACCCCCAAUUUUUACAGGUUGACCUCGGAUCAGGUAGGGAUACCCGCUGAACUUAAGCAUAUCAAUAAGCAGAGGA
RNAcentral lists this unclassified non-coding RNA (329 nucleotides) under soil metagenome. RNAcentral's name for it is "partial contains 5.8S ribosomal RNA, internal transcribed spacer 2, and large subunit ribosomal RNA". The stretch from base 1 to 120 matches the Rfam family "5.8S ribosomal RNA", at positions 35 to 154 of the family's 154-position model. The record is from RNAcentral.